This 1320-nucleotide ribosomal RNA is filed under the name uncultured bacterium. RNAcentral's name for it is "bacterial SSU rRNA". It matches the Rfam family "Bacterial small subunit ribosomal RNA", at positions 29 to 1393 of the family's 1533-position model. The record is from RNAcentral.
AUGAACGCUGGCGGUCUGCUUAACACAUGCAAGUCGAACGGACUCUUCGGAGUUAGUGGCGGACGGGUGAGUAACGCGUGAGAAUCUGCCUCUAGAACGGGGACAACAGAGGGAAACUUCUGCUAAUCCCGGAUGAGCCGAAAGGUCAAAGAUUUAUCGUCUAGAGAUGAGCUCGCGUCUGAUUAGCUAGUUGGUAAGGUAAAAGCUUACCAAGGCGACGAUCAGUAGCUGGUCUGAGAGGAUGAUCAGCCACACUGGGACUGAGACACGGCCCAGACUCCUACGGGAGGCAGCAGUGGGGAAUUUUCCGCAAUGGGCGAAAGCCUGACGGAGCAAGACCGCGUGGGGGAGGAAAGCCUUUGGGUUGUAAACCCCUUUUCUCAGGGAAGAAGAAAGUGACGGUACCUGAGGAAUCAGCCUCGGCUAACUCCGUGCCAGCAGCCGCGGUAAUACGGAGGAGGCAAGCGUUAUCCGGAAUGAUUGGGCGUAAAGCGUUCGUAGGUGGCAAUUCAAGUCUGCUGUCAAAGACAGUAGCUCAACUACUGCAAGGCAGUGGAAACUGAAUAGCUAGAGUGCGGUAGGGGCAGAGGGAAUUCCCGGUGUAGCGGUGAAAUGCGUAGAGAUCGGGAAGAACACCGGUGGCGAAAGCGCUCUGCUGGGCCGCAACUGACACUGAGGGACGAAAGCUAGGGGAGCGAAUGGGAUUAGAUACCCCAGUAGUCCUAGCUGUAAACGAUGGGAAACUAGGUGUUGCCUGUAUCGACCCAGGCAGUGCCGUAGCUAACGCGUUAAGUUUCCCGCCUGGGGAGUACGCACGCAAGUGUGAAACUCAAAGGAAUUGACGGGGGCCCGCACAAGCGGUGGAGUAUGUGGUUUAAUUCGAUGCAACGCGAAGAACCUUACCAGGGCUUGACAUGUCCGGAACCCCGGUGAAAGCUGGGGGUGCCUUCGGGAGCCGGAACACAGGUGGUGCAUGGCUGUCGUCAGCUCGUGUCGUGAGAUGUUGGGUUAAGUCCCGCAACGAGCGCAACCCUCGUCUUUAGUUGCCAGCAUUAAGUUGGGCACUCUAGAGAGACUGCCGGUGACAAACCGGAGGAAGGUGGGGAUGACGUCAAGUCAGCAUGCCCCUUACGCUCUGGGCGACACACGUACUACAAUGGUCGGGACAGAGGGCAGCUAACCUGCGAAGGCAAGCUAAUCCCAGAAACUCGGCCUCAGUUCAGAUCGCAGGCUGCAACUCGCCUGCGUGAAGGAGGAAUCGCUAGUAAUCGCCGGUCAGAAUACGGCGGUGAAUCCGUUCCCGGGCCUUGUACUCACCGC